RNAcentral lists this ribosomal RNA (480 nucleotides) under bacterium AER51A. Its description in RNAcentral is "bacterial SSU rRNA". It matches the Rfam family "Bacterial small subunit ribosomal RNA", at positions 70 to 534 of the family's 1533-position model. The record is from RNAcentral.
GAUAAGGAGCUUGCUCCUUUGACGUUAGCGGCGGACGGGUGAGUAACACGUGGAUAACCUACCUAUAAGACUGGGAUAACUUCGGGAAACCGGAGCUAAUACCGGAUAACAUAUUGAACCGCAUGGUUCAAUAGUGAAAGGCGGCUUUGCUGUCACUUAUAGAUGGAUCCGCGCCGUAUUAGCUAGUUGGUAAGGUAACGGCUUACCAAGGCAACGAUACGUAGCCGACCUGAGAGGGUGAUCGGCCACACUGGAACUGAGACACGGUCCAGACUCCUACGGGAGGCAGCAGUAGGGAAUCUUCCGCAAUGGGCGAAAGCCUGACGGAGCAACGCCGCGUGAGUGAUGAAGGUCUUCGGAUCGUAAAACUCUGUUAUCAGGGAAGAACAAAUGUGUAAGUAACUGUGCACAUCUUGACGGUACCUGAUCAGAAAGCCACGGCUAACUACGUGCCAGCAGCCGCGGUAAUACGGAGGGUGG